This 1186-nucleotide long non-coding RNA is filed under the name Glycine max (soybean). RNAcentral's name for it is "long non-coding RNA (GMAX_LNC002130)". The record is from RNAcentral. Lineage: Eukaryota; Viridiplantae; Streptophyta; Magnoliopsida; Fabales; Fabaceae.
CGAUGAAACAACCUCCGUUGAUUUGAUGCUUAACCUCUCUCCCAAGGAAGCUUCUGCUGCUGCUACUACUGAUGGAGCAGAUCCACGUGAGAAUCCAAAGACUUCGCCGAAGGAGAAGAAUCUUCCUCUUCUCGAUCCCGCAAAGCCUCCUGCCAAGUAAGUACUAGUUUAAAAUAAUUUAAUACAGUAGCAUACAAAAAAUCAAUAGACCAAGUUAAGCUUAGUGACGGAAACUGUUUUUUGUCACUAAUUCUGAACUUACAAGAAAAAUUGUGGCAUUUUUUUCUUGCAUAUGCAUGUGUAAAAUUGAAAGAAAAUGAAUUGUCGUGGUAAAUUUUCUAUUUGCAAUUACUUGAUCUUGCAUGGAAUUAAACAUAUAAAUGUAAUUAAGGAUAAUAUUGUGCUUAUAUUUAUUAUAUGGCUAAUUUGGGGUGCCCGAAUGGAAAAGAGAUAGAAAUGGAAGCCAAAAGGAUCGAAAGAUCAUGAGAAAUAAAGAAGAAAUUAAUGACACAGACUGAAAAAUAGAUUCGUAAGAGAGAGAGACAACCAAGAAUACUAAAACUCUAGAUGCCUUCAGCUCUCGGAUACCGUUUUUUUGCUAGAAAUACGAUCUACAUGCCUUCAAAUAGUUUGGGUAGCUAGUUAUAUAUGUACGGAUGAUAAUGCCAACAGUCUUAUAGUUAUAUACUAAUUCUAUAAGUUUUCAUUAUAUGUAUCAUAUAUGUAUAUCUUCUUUCGCGGACUGUUUAACAUGCGAUGUAUGAAACAAUUAAGCAAAUCCAUAUCUAUAGAUGCUUAUCUAUUUCUAUGUGUAAAGAAACAAAUAGAAAAUUGGAUUAACAAAUCCAUAAAAAGAAACACAAUUUUCCUUUAUCCUCAGUCUUGAUGUGCAGCCAAGUUAUAAAUUUCAAGGCUAAUCAACUAGUUCUUCAAGGAAACUAAUUAACUUCAUGUGUGUGUAAUUAAUUUAUUUAAUUUUAGUUUCAUUAUAUGCAUAAUUUCAUCCCCAACCCCUCCAAUUAUGAAGUGAAUCAAGUGAUUUUACGAAUAUUAAUGAAUUAAAACAAAAUGAACAUUUUAGGGCGCAAGUGGUGGGAUGGCCACCUGUAAGGUCUUUCCGGAAGAACAUGUUUGCAGCCCAAAAGAGCAGCGGCGGAGAGGAAAGCGAGAAGAACAGCCCUAAUGC